Molecule: ribosomal RNA, 482 nt
Filed under: uncultured bacterium
Lineage: Bacteria
Description: partial 16S ribosomal RNA
Rfam family: Bacterial small subunit ribosomal RNA
Source: RNAcentral
GACGAACGCUGGCGGCGUGCUUAACACAUGCAAGUCGAACGCUGAAGCUCAGCUUGCUGGGUGGAUGAGUGGCGAACGGGUGAGUAACACGUGAGUAACCUGCCCUCUUCUUUGGGAUAACGCCCGGAAACGGGUGCUAAUACUGGAUAUUCACUGAUUCUCGCAUGGGGGUUGGUGGAAAGGUUUCUUUUUGUGGGGGAUGGGUUCGCGGCCUAUCAGCUUGUUGGUGGGCUGAUGGCCUACCAAGGUUUUGACGGGUCGCUGAGCUGAGAGGGUGACCGGGGACAUGGGGACUGAGAUACGGCCCAGACUCAGACGGGAGGCAGCAGUGGGGAAUAUUGCACGAUGGGCUAACGCCUGAUGCAGCGACGCCGCGUGAGGGAUGGAGGCCUUCGGGUUGUAAACCUCUUUCGCUCAUGGUCAAGCCGCAGCUUUGGGUUGUGGUGAGGGUAGUGGGUAAAGAAGCGCCGGCUAACUACGUG